Molecule: long non-coding RNA, 2251 nt
Filed under: Pomacea canaliculata
Lineage: Eukaryota; Metazoa; Mollusca; Gastropoda; Architaenioglossa; Ampullariidae
Description: uncharacterized LOC112571302, transcript variant X2
Source: RNAcentral
GUGGUUUCUCAGUCCUGGAUUUUCUUUGGGGAGGAGGGAGGAUGGCCGUUCUGUCUACAUCACACUCUUUCAAAGAUCGUUUAAAAAGGAAUCGGCUCCGAAGAUGCUGAGAAUUCUGAAGAAAAUGCUGCAUGACGUCACCCUACAGCUGAAGUGCCCGGCUGUUGGCGACGUUGGGAGCUGCAGGCAGCGCCGCCUGCCUUGGUGGACAGACAACUGCCAUCAGCGAAAGGUGACGGAGAAAACGAGCGAUCAGGUUUCAGCUGACACGUGAUCCCAGUCGGCAUUCGUGCUUUUAAAUUAGCGAAGAGCGAUGAGGAGCCGGAGGAUAAUGAUGAUUAUUAUUGACAUCACACUGACCUACGUAGUGCAGAAAUGGGAACUAUCGGCGGACAAUGAUAUAAACCAGACUCAAGUGCUCCACAUGACAAAAAUGUUUGCCGAGGUAGGGAAGGUGGGAUUGCGGGGACGAGUGCAAGAAAAGAAAAGAUAAAGCUAACUGAGGAAGACGGGUAGUAAUAGAGAAGCUGCUUGUAAAACCUGUGGACGGUAAGACAUCGCCGCACGGCGCAGCUGAGCUCUAAUGAGCUGAAGCCACGGAGACAACCAGGGACCCAGCAACCAGGGGGGAUCAUAUCCUCCCACUGACUGCUAGCACUCGACACCCACCUCUCUCAUUUCCUCCAGCCCAUUGUCAGUGGAAUGAGCGAGACGGAGGGAUAGAGAGAGAGAAGGAGGGAGAAACACGAGUGCAGCUCCCCCAUCGAGGCUCGCUACCCGGGCGACAAGGUCCAGUGGUGAGCGCCCCUUGCCGGUGGCAGUCAAUGGAGCGUAAAACUGGGCGCCGAGGCGGUGUGGAUCCUGCUCCUCCUGCGACCAGGGGGAAGCCUCAUCGGCGAUGACGUUAAUGGAGAGGAGACGCCGUUUGUCGUGGAUCCUGGUGUGAGUGUCAACGGCCGAGCUGCAAAUCAUCCGCCACGUCACAGACGCACGUUGCAGACGACCGAAGGCUGACUGACAACUCGUUCAUGAAGUCGAUAAUGGAGCCUCGUUCUGGCUGUUCCAGCUGCGAUUUAUAAAUAGCUUGUUUUCACAGACUUUUGGCUAAUGGCAGACUCUUCUGUGCUCACAAUUUCUUUAAAAUGUUCCCAGAGAGAAUAUUCAUUCUGACAUAAGCUUCAUUUCCUGUAAUAUUCCUGAAGCAAAGAAGAUAUAAAGAGUUAGUAGGUAGUUUUAAUGGUGUCGGUCUAAACUGUGACUAUAGACAACCCUCGUGUUCAAAGCUUUAAAAAAAAAAAUAGAAAGAUACACAAAAGUAAAGAUGAACAAUAUAUAUGCUGCCUUUAGUUCCCUGUCAUAAAAUUCUAGCACGUGUCUGUUUAUUUAGUUUAUAUCACUAAGCACCUACCCACCUCCCGAACCACUGAUGUCAAGUGCUGACAGAUUCAUCCUCACUUCCUAGUCUGAUCGAGGACUAAAAAUAAAUAAAUAAAUCACUUAAAGCAUGCCAUACUGAAAUCUUCCAAAACCAACAAAUGAAGCAUACUGUACAUUUUAACUGUGCAACUAUUUUUGGUAUCAUCUUUAGAUUUGUGACCCCAUCCACGUUUAUGGUCACGUUUGCACACAUCGAUUAAUUUGAAAUAUUGUAUUAAUUAAAUCUGUAAAUAAAAUAUUUCUCACCUUUUCCCAUCAUAUGAAAAUCUGAAAAAUACAGCGUUUUUGUGGCUGGCAUUUGAGCAGUUAAUUGCAUUGCAAAGUGGCCCACAGGCUUUGUCUUAGCCUUCAGUAUAAUCGAGAACAGCAUGGAGGAGCAAAGGGACUGAACUGUGAUUACGUUCUUAUGGAAUUCCCCAUAUAUAAAACUUUGGAUGUUCCAAAAAGUGUAGGGGGAAACAACUGUAAUGCAAAUUGCGUAGACGUAAGCCGACACGUGUAUGCAUGCGUGUGUGUGUAUAAAGAGAAAGGAGAGUAAGAGGGAGCCACAGUUGCCCUGUGAUCACUUUAACCGGUCACAGGUAAGAUUUCCAUAUUUACUUAUCAUCUCCCGUCUGGCGGCUAACUUUAAAAUGACCUCUCCCGACCCGUGCUUGUUAUCAACCUGUCAUGACUGACUUCCAGAAUCCGCUGAUGACCCUAGCGUGUCAUUAACUUGUCACGCCUUGUGUCCUCGUAAUGACACCACAGUCAUGUGACAAGCUCUUCGUAUCUCAGGUAAGGCAUCUGAUGUGAACAUGCGACAGUCCUGCUG